This 1112-nucleotide long non-coding RNA is filed under the name Chloebia gouldiae (Gouldian finch). RNAcentral's name for it is "Erythrura gouldiae (Gouldian finch) lncRNA (ENSEGOG00005010766.1)". The record is from RNAcentral. Lineage: Eukaryota; Metazoa; Chordata; Aves; Passeriformes; Passeridae.
CCCUCAGGAAUCCCCAAAAUUCCCCUUAUGGACCCCAAAAUUACCCAAAUUUGCCCCAAAUCCCCUCAGUGAUCCCCAAAAUUCCCCAAAUCUGCCUCAAAAUUCCCCAAAUUUGCCCAUAGUGCCCCAAAAUUGCCCAAAUUUGCCCCAAAAUCCCCUCGGGGAUCCUCAAAAUUCCCUAAAUUUGCCCCAAAUUCUCAUCAGGGGCCCCAAAUCCCCUCAGAAAUCCCCAAAUCCCCUCAGGGGUCCCCAAAAUUCUCCAAUUUUGCCCCAAAUUCCCCUCAGGGACCCCCAAAAUUCCCCAAAUUUGCCUCAAAAUUCCCCGAUUUUGCCCUAAAUGCCCCAAAAUUGCCCAGAUUUGCCUCAAAAUUCCCUUAGGGACUCCAAAAUUGCCCAAAUUUGCCCCAAAAUUCCCCUUGGGGACCCCAAAUCCCCUCAGGAAUCCCCAAAAUUGCCCAAAUUUGCCCCAAAUCCCCUCAGGGACCCCAAAUCUCUUCAGGGAUCCCCAAAAUUCCCCAAAUCUGCCCCAAAAUUGCCUAAAUAGCCCAAAAUUCCACAAAUUUGCACCAAAAUCUCCAGGAUCCCCAAAUUUCCCUCAGGAACCCCAAAUCCCCUCAGGAAUCCCCAAAUUUCCAAAAUUUGCCCCAAAAUCCCCUCAGGGACCCCAAAAUUCCCCAAACUUGCCCCAAAAUUCUUUUAGGGAUCCAAAAAUUGCCCAAAUUUGUCUCAAAAUUCCCCAAAUUCGCCCCAAAAUCUCCGAGAUUCCCAAAUUUCCCUCAGGGGUCCCCAAACCCUGCCCAGAAAUGUUCCCAGUUCAUCCCAGUUUGAUCCCAGUCCCUCCCAGUCCCUCCCAGUUCCCUCCCAGUCCCUCCCAGUCCCUCCCAGUUCCCUCCCAGUCCCUCCCAGUAAGCCCAGUCCGUUCCCAGUUUCGAUUUCCUCUGCCUGCCGCUCUUCCACCCGCGGCACCGGCGGGAGUUCGCGGCGGCGCCCGCCAGGGGGCGCCCCGGGCCGCAGACCCGCUCCGACCUCGUGCUGGCCGGCCGCGGUGAGAGCGCGUUUGUACUGGUUAUACUGGUUAUACUGGGAGGGGUUAUACUGGGGAUACUGGGAGG